This 450-nucleotide ribosomal RNA is filed under the name uncultured bacterium. Its description in RNAcentral is "partial 16S ribosomal RNA". It matches the Rfam family "Bacterial small subunit ribosomal RNA", at positions 354 to 796 of the family's 1533-position model. The record is from RNAcentral.
GUGGGGAAUUUUGGACAAUGGGGGCAACCCUGAUCCAGCCAUUCCGCGUGAGUGAAGAAGGCCUUCGGGUUGUAAAGCUCUUUCGGCAGGAACGAAACGGUGAGCUCUAACAUAGCUCGCUAAUGACGGUACCUGAAGAAGAAGCACCGGCUAACUACGUGCCAGCAGCCGCGGUAAUACGUAGGGUGCGAGCGUUAAUCGGAAUUACUGGGCGUAAAGCGUGCGCAGGCGGUUGUGUAAGACAGGUGUGAAAUCCCCGGGCUUAACCUGGGAACUGCGCUUGUGACUGCACGGCUAGAGUAUGGCAGAGGGGGGUGGAAUUCCACGUGUAGCAGUGAAAUGCGUAGAGAUGUGGAGGAACACCGAUGGCGAAGGCAGCCCCCUGGGCCAAUACUGACGCUCAUGCACGAAAGCGUGGGGAGCAAACAGGAUUAGAAACCCGGGUAGUCC